Molecule: non-coding RNA, 26 nt
Filed under: Homo sapiens (human)
Lineage: Eukaryota; Metazoa; Chordata; Mammalia; Primates; Hominidae
Source: RNAcentral
UACAGCUUGCUCUCUGAGACCUGGGG